CAGGGAAUAGUUUAAAUAGAAUUUCAGCUUUGGGUGCUGAUGGUGGGGCUGUUGCUCCUUCCUGAA
This 66-nucleotide transfer RNA is filed under the name Parahyaena brunnea. RNAcentral's name for it is "tRNA-Pro". Lineage: Eukaryota; Metazoa; Chordata; Mammalia; Carnivora; Hyaenidae. The record is from RNAcentral.